RNAcentral lists this ribosomal RNA (378 nucleotides) under Tropiocolotes algericus (Algerian sand gecko). Its description in RNAcentral is "partial 12S ribosomal RNA". It matches the Rfam family "Bacterial small subunit ribosomal RNA", at positions 796 to 1381 of the family's 1533-position model. The record is from RNAcentral. Lineage: Eukaryota; Metazoa; Chordata; Lepidosauria; Squamata; Gekkonidae.
CCAGAAAUAAACCCAGAUAGUAAAUAUACGCCCUAUCCGCCAGAGAACUACCAGCGAAAAGCUAAAAACUCAAAGGAUUUGACGGUGUCCCACAUCAACCUAGAGGAGCCUGUCCUAUAAUCGAUAACCCACGUUAUACCCAACCUGUUCUCGCACCCCCAGCCUAUAUACCGCCGCCUUCAGCCUACCUAAUGAUAGUCCAAGUAAGCACAACAGCCCGCACUAAAACGUCAGGUCAAGGUGUAGCUAAUGGACAGGAAGAGAUGGGCUACAUUUUCUGCCAACAGAAAAAACCCGCACGUCAUGAAACUUUCGCUAAAAGGUGGAUUUAGCAGUAAGCUCGGUAAGACAAGCCAAACUGAAACAUGCUCUGGGACG